Long non-coding RNA from Gallus gallus (chicken), 1048 nucleotides. NCBI's taxonomy places the organism in Eukaryota, Metazoa, Chordata, Aves, Galliformes, Phasianidae. The record is from Ensembl.
UCUCCUUCCUCAAUGCUGCAGCAUCGCCUUCUAAUAAAGUCAAUACAUCUUGCAAUUAACUCCUCAGAAAAUGGUAUUCUUGGCUACCAUCAGACCAGGAAGAAGCUCUCUGUGCUGCGAAGCGCAAUGAAACCUCCAGUUGCUCUCCAUCAAUCUUUUCCUGUAUUGUAUCUACAUAGCAAGCAAGAUGUUUUCCUUCACCGCCCUCGAUGAUGUAUUUCCUCCAUGCAAAACUUCUGGACACAGGGCAGCUCUGUGAGCUGCUCUGGGAUUAUACAAGCUGAUCUGAAGAUGAAUUAAGCCUCUCUAUGUUUCUUGCAAUCUGCAUAAGCAGGCGUUCCUCUUCCUUGCAGCGCAGCAGGUUUCUGUUGAUGCUGACAUUUCACUGCACGUGGGAACAUUGCAAGGCAGCAACACCAAAACGGGGUGUUGGACUCUGAUCUGGAGAGAGGCAGUUUGUACCCUGUGAGUUCUGGUGAUGGCUGUGAUACGCAGUCAUGUUACGACUCUCCGUAUCAGUGAUCAGGUUCUGCCUGCACCACUCCGGGAUCUGCACAGCCCUCCAUUGGCCCCCUGCGAGGAGACCAAAAGUUAAGCUUAUAGCUUCAAUUUGUAUCACAUGCCUGCUGAAAAAGCAGCUCUGAAUUUGCUUUUAGACAGCAACCUGUCACUCUUACAGGCUACAGCUGCAGGAGCUGUGAGAUGCACUGCUGUGUGGUGCAGCCACGGGCACUGCACUGAGGUUUGUGUAAGGCCAUCUCAGUCCCAGCAGAGCUGAGGAGCUGCCUGGAAGUGUUUGUUUUCCGUCUUCUCCUCUUGUUUAAGACAACAGCAAUCAUCAUCUGAGUGCCAUACAACAAGUGGAGGUACUCUUUUGAAUGGUGUCUCCUUUUCAGUUUUCUUCUAAAGGAUGAAGAAGUGAGAAAUGUUAGAGAGGAAAACCCCUGCUCUAUGCACACAGAGGGCCUUAAAAUCAUAGAGUUCUAUAAUAGAACCAUAGGAUGGCUUGGAUUGGAAGUGACAUCAAGGAUCAUGAAGCUUCAACUCC